AGAAAGGGGAGCAAUACCUGAGUAAAGUGGCGCACGGGUGAGUAACACGUGACUAACCUACCCUGGAGUGGGGGAUAACUGAGGGAAACCUUAGCUAAUACCGCAUAACACCUACGGGUCAAAGGAGCAAUUCGCUUCAGGAGGGGGUCGCGGCCGAUUAGUUAGUUGGCGGGGUAAUGGCCCACCAAGACUGUGAUCGGUAUCCGGCCUGAGAGGGCGCACGGACACACUGGAACUGAAACACGGUCCAGACUCCUACGGGAGGCAGCAGUGGGGAAUUUUGCGCAAUGGGGGAAACCCUGACGCAGCAACGCCGCGUGGAGGAUGAAGUACUUCGGUACGUAAACUCCUUUCGAUCGGGACGAUUAUGACGGUACCGGAAGAAGAAGCCCCGGCUAACUUCGUGCCAGCAGCCGCGGUAAUACGAGGGGGGCAAGCGUUGUUCGGAAUUAUUGGGCGUAAAGGGUGCGUAGGCGGUUUUGUAAGUCUUGUGUGAAAUCUUCAGGCUCAACUUGAAGACUGCACGAGAAACUGCAGGGCUUGAGUGUGGGAGAGGUGAGUGGAAUUCCUGGUGUAGCGGUGAAGUGCGUAGAUAUCAGGAGGAACACCUGUGGCGAAAGCGGCUCACUGGACCACAACUGACGCUGAUGCACGAAAGCUAGGGGAGCAAACAGGAUUAGAUACCCUGGUAGUCCUAGCCCUAAACGAUGACUGC
This 715-nucleotide ribosomal RNA is filed under the name uncultured bacterium. RNAcentral's name for it is "bacterial SSU rRNA". It matches the Rfam family "Bacterial small subunit ribosomal RNA", at positions 69 to 816 of the family's 1533-position model. The record is from RNAcentral.